This 414-nucleotide ribosomal RNA is filed under the name Glyptomorpha sp. RNAcentral describes it as "partial 16S ribosomal RNA". Lineage: Eukaryota; Metazoa; Arthropoda; Insecta; Hymenoptera; Braconidae. The record is from RNAcentral.
GUCUUAAAGAAUAUAUUAAUUUUAAGUCUAAUCUGCCCAAUGAAAUAAAAUUUAAAUGGCUGCAGUAUCCUGACUGUACAAAGGUAGCAUAAUAAUUUGUUUUUUAAUUAAAAACUUGAAUGAAAGAUUAAAUGAAAUAUAAACUUUUUCAAUUAAAAAUAUUAAAAUUUUUAUUUAAGUAAAAAAACUUAAAUAUUUUUUUAAGACGAUAAGACCCUAUAGAAUUUUAUUUAAUUUUAAAAUUUUUUUUUAAAAUUAAAUUUUGUUGGGGAAACAAAAAUAUUUAAUUAACUAUUUUUAAAUUAAACAUUAAUUAAUGAAUUAAAUAUCUUAAAUUUUAAAUUAUAAAAAUUAAUUACCUUAGGGAUAACAGCAUAAUUUUUUUUAAAAGACCUUAUUAAUAAAAAAGAUUGU